This 273-nucleotide unclassified non-coding RNA is filed under the name fungal sp. Its description in RNAcentral is "partial internal transcribed spacer region". The stretch from base 1 to 46 matches the Rfam family "Eukaryotic small subunit ribosomal RNA", at positions 1786 to 1831 of the family's 1831-position model. RNAcentral also lists the same sequence under 1 other name. The record is from RNAcentral. Lineage: Eukaryota; Fungi.
AAGUCGUAACAAGGUUUCCGUAGGUGAACCUGCGGAAGGAUCAUUACAAAUCCAUCGCGUCUCUCUCACCCGAGACAACGUCUAACUGUUCCGAGCGUGAAGGCGUCGUCGUCGCCGCUGCUGGUCUCUCCUUGACCGAGCGAGCGUGCGCGGCGUGCCCGACCGCCCGUACCUUUACACCCCCUUCUUAAGCUGACGACCGUUGCUUCAUAUGUAGCUUCUCAUGCGCAUCAACGCGAGAAACAACUUAUAACAAUGGAUCUCUAGGCUCUU